GGAAAGGCGCGCGAUACAGGGUGACAGCCCCGUACACAAAAAUGCACAUGCUGUGAGCUCGAUGAGUAGGGCGGGACACGUGGUAUCCUGUCUGAAUAUGGGGGGACCAUCCUCCAAGGCUAAAUACUCCUGACUGACCGAUAGUGAACCAGUACCGUGAGGGAAAGGCGAAAAGAACCCCGGCGAGGGGAGUGAAAAAGAACCUGAAACCGUGUACGUACAAGCAGUGGGAGCACGCUUAGGCGUGUGACUGCGUACCUUUUGUAUAAUGGGUCAGCGACUUAUAUUCUGUAGCAAGGUUAACCGAAUAGGGGAGCCGAAGGGAAACCGAGUCUUAACUGGGCGUUAAGUUGCAGGGUAUAGACCCGAAACCCGGUGAUCUAGCCAUGGGCAGGUUGAAGGUUGGGUAACACUAACUGGAGGACCGAACCGACUAAUGUUGAAAAAUUAGCGGAUGACUUGUGGCUGGGGGUGAAAGGCCAAUCAAACCGGGAGAUAGCUGGUUCUCCCCGAAAGCUAUUUAGGUAGCGCCUCGUGAAUUCAUCUCCGGGGGUAGAGCACUGUUUCGGCAAGGGGGUCAUCCCGACUUACCAACCCGAUGCAAACUGCGAAUACCGGAGAAUGUUAUCACGGGAGACACACGGCGGGUGCUAACGUCCGUCGUGAAGAGGGAAACAACCCAGACCGCCAGCUAAGGUCCCAAAGUCAUGGUUAAGUGGGAAACGAUGUGGGAAGGCCCAGACAGCCAGGAUGUUGGCUUAGAAGCAGCCAUCAUUUAAAGAAAGCGUAAUAGCUCACUGGUCGAGUCGGCCUGCGCGGAAGAUGUAACGGGGCUAAACCAUGCACCGAAGCUGCGGCAGCGACGCUGAUGCGUUGUUGGGUAGGGGAGCGUUCUGUAAGCCUGUGAAGGUGUGCUGUGAGGCAUGCUGGAGGUAUCAGAAGUGCGAAUGCUGACAUAAGUAACGAUAAAGCGGGUGAAAAGCCCGCUCGCCGGAAGACCAAGGGUUCCUGUCCAACGUUAAUCGGGGCAGGGUGAGUCGACCCCUAAGGCGAGGCCGAAAGGCGUAGUCGAUGGGAAACAGGUUAAUAUUCCUGUACUUGGUGUUACUGCGAAGGGGGGACGGAGAAGGCUAUGUUGGCCGGGCGACGGUUGUCCCGGUUUAAGCGUGUAGGCUGGUUUUCCAGGCAAAUCCGGAAAACUAAGGCUGAGGCGUGAUGACGAGGCACUACGGUGCUGAAGCAACAAAUGCCCUGCUUCCAGGAAAAGCCUCUAAGCAUCAGGUAACAUCAAAUCGUACCCCAAACCGACACAGGUGGUCAGGUAGAGAAUACCAAGGCGCUUGAGAGAACUCGGGUGAAGGAACUAGGCAAAAUGGUGCCGUAACUUCGGGAGAAGGCACGCUGAUAUGUAGGUGAAGUCCCUCGCGGAUGGAGCUGAAAUCAGUCGAAGAUACCAGCUGGCUGCAACUGUUUAUUAAAAACACAGCACUGUGCAAACACGAAAGUGGACGUAUACGGUGUGACGCCUGCCCGGUGCCGGAAGGUUAAUUGAUGGGGUCAGCGCAAGCGAAGCUCUUGAUCGAAGCCCCGGUAAACGGCGGCCGUAACUAUAACGGUCCUAAGGUAGCGAAAUUCCUUGUCGGGUAAGUUCCGACCUGCACGAAUGGCGUAAUGAUGGCCAGGCUGUCUCCACCCGAGACUCAGUGAAAUUGAACUCGCUGUGAAGAUGCAGUGUACCCGCGGCAAGACGGAAAGACCCCGUGAACCUUUACUAUAGCUUGACACUGAACAUUGAGCCUUGAUG
Molecule: ribosomal RNA, 1804 nt
Filed under: Escherichia coli
Lineage: Bacteria; Pseudomonadati; Pseudomonadota; Gammaproteobacteria; Enterobacterales; Enterobacteriaceae
Description: partial 23S ribosomal RNA
Rfam family: Bacterial large subunit ribosomal RNA
Source: RNAcentral